CAGUCAUACCGAUGAGCAUUCAGCCUUUUGGGUGCGAUUAUGUGGUACGUGGAAAGAUUUCACGGUUGCAUUUUCGUGCCUUUUGGGUGUACUUGUUCGUAUGGUAGGUUACAUCAUUUCGGUUAUCAUAAAAUGACGGGAGGAAUGUAGCUUCUCCGAAAGUGUUAUAGCCUCUGGUAGAUGUGAUGAUCGGGAUUUGAGGAUUGCAACGAACCCUCUGGGGUCUACUCGUCUGGCCUCUGGUGGUCGCUCUGGUUCCCGAAAGCUUGCUUACAGUAGUCAGAGUUUGGUUUGCCAAAGGUUAGAACGGUAUGAUUUCUUUA
This 323-nucleotide ribosomal RNA is filed under the name uncultured Glomus. RNAcentral describes it as "eukaryotic LSU rRNA". Lineage: Eukaryota; Fungi; Glomeromycota; Glomeromycetes; Glomerales; Glomeraceae. The record is from RNAcentral.